Molecule: ribosomal RNA, 738 nt
Filed under: uncultured bacterium
Lineage: Bacteria
Description: bacterial SSU rRNA
Rfam family: Bacterial small subunit ribosomal RNA
Source: RNAcentral
GGCGGUUAGAUAAGUNUGAAGUUAAAGGCUGUGGCUUAACCAUAGUACGCUUUGGAAACUGUUUAACUUGAGUGCAGAAGGGGAGAGUGGAAUUCCAUGUGUAGCGGUGAAAUGCGUAGAUAUAUGGAGGAACACCGGUGGCGAAAGCGGCUCUCUGGUCUGUAACUGACGCUGAGGCUCGAAAGCGUGGGGAGCGAACAGGAUUAGAUACCCUGGUAGUCCACGCCGUAAACGAUGAGUGCUAGGUGUUAGGCCCUUUCCGGGGCUUAGUGCCGCAGCUAACGCAUUAAGCACUCCGCCUGGGGAGUACGACCGCAAGGUUGAAACUCAAAGGAAUUGACGGGGGCCCGCACAAGCGGUGGAGCAUGUGGUUUAAUUCGAAGCAACGCGAAGAACCUUACCAGGUCUUGACAUCCCGAUGCCCGCUCUAGAGAUAGAGUUUUACUUCGGUACAUCGGUGACAGGUGGUGCAUGGUUGUCGUCAGCUCGUGUCGUGAGAUGUUGGGUUAAGUCCCGCAACGAGCGCAACCCUUAUUGUUAGUUGCCAUCAUUCAGUUGGGCACUCUAGCGAGACUGCCGGUAAUAAACCGGAGGAAGGUGGGGAUGACGUCAAAUCAUCAUGCCCCUUAUGACCUGGGCUACACACGUGCUACAAUGGCUGGUACAACGAGUCGCAAGUCGGUGACGGCAAGCUAAUCUCUUAAAGCCAGUCUCAGUUCGGAUUGUAGGCUGCAACUC